GACGAAGGAUGCAAGCGUUAUCCGGAUUCAUUGGGUUUAAAGGGAGCGUAGGCGGACUUAUAAGUCAGUGGUGAAAUCUCUGGGCUUAACUCAGAAACUGCCAUUGAUACUGUAGGUCUAGAGUACAUUUGCUGUGGGCGGAAUAUGACAUGUAGUGGUGAAAUACUUAGAUAUGUCAUAGAACACCGAUUGCGAAGGCAGCUCACAAAAAAUGUAACUGACGCUGAGGCUCGAAAGUGCGGGGAGUCAAAACAGG
Molecule: ribosomal RNA, 256 nt
Filed under: uncultured bacterium
Lineage: Bacteria
Description: partial 16S ribosomal RNA
Rfam family: Bacterial small subunit ribosomal RNA
Source: RNAcentral